CCUACGGGAGGCAGCAGUAGGGAAUUUUCGGCAAUGGGGGGAACCCUGACCGAGCAACGCCGCGUGAAGGCAGAAGGAAUUCGGUCUGUAAACUUCUGUUAUAAAGGAAGAAAGACGGAUGGAGGAAAUGACAUCCGAGUGACGGUAAGUUAAGAGAAAGCCACGUCUAACUACGGGCCAGCAGCCGCGGAAAUACGUAGGUGGUAAGGGUUACACGGAAUGAUUGGGCGUAAAGAGGGAGCGGGCGGCAGCAAAGGUCUGUGGGGAAAGCCGGAAGCUUAACUUCAGUAAGCCAUAGAAACCGGUGCGCUAGAGUGCAGGAGAGGAUCGUGGAAUUCCAUGUGUAGCGGUGAAAUGCGUAGAUAUAU
This 368-nucleotide ribosomal RNA is filed under the name uncultured bacterium. RNAcentral describes it as "partial 16S ribosomal RNA". It matches the Rfam family "Bacterial small subunit ribosomal RNA", at positions 338 to 699 of the family's 1533-position model. The record is from RNAcentral.